UACGAAGGGGGCUAGCGUUGUUCGGAAUUACUGGGCGUAAAGGGCGCGUAGGCGGCGUGUCAAGUCAGGCGUGAAAGCCCCGGGCUCAACCUGGGAACCGCGCUUGAGACUGGCAUGCUCGAGUUCGGGAGAGGAUGGUGGAAUUCCCAGUGUAGAGGUGAAAUUCGUAGAUAUUGGGAAGAACACCGGAUGGCGAAGGCAGCCAUCUGGACCGACACUGACGCUGAGGCGGACGAAAGCGUGGGGAGCAAACAGG
This 256-nucleotide ribosomal RNA is filed under the name uncultured bacterium. Its description in RNAcentral is "partial 16S ribosomal RNA". It matches the Rfam family "Bacterial small subunit ribosomal RNA", at positions 524 to 776 of the family's 1533-position model. The record is from RNAcentral.